GGGUUGUGAGGUUAAGCGACUAAGCGUACACGGUGGAUGCCCUGGCAGUCAGAGGCGAUGAAGGACGUGCUAAUCUGCGAAAAGCGCCGGCGAGGUGAUAUGAACCUUUGACCCGGCGAUGUCCGAAUGGGGAAACCCAGUGCAAUUCGUUGCACUAUCGUUAACUGAAUACAUAGGUUAACGAGGCGAACCGGGGGAACUGAAACAUCUAAGUACCCCGAGGAAAAGAAAUCAACCGAGAUUCCCCCAGUAGCGGCGAGCGAACGGGGAGGAGCCCAGAGUCUGAAUCAGUUUGUGUGUUAGUGGAAGCGUCUGGAAAGUCGCACGAUACAGGGUGAUAGUCCCGUACACGAAAAUGCACAGGCUGUGAACUCGAAGAGUAGGGCGGGACACGUGGUAUCCUGUCUGAAUAUGGGGGGACCAUCCUCCAAGGCUAAAUACUCCUGACUGACCGAUAGUGAACCAGUACCGUGAGGGAAAGGCGAAAAGAACCCCGGCGAGGGGAGUGAAAAAGAACCUGAAACCGUGUACGUACAAGCAGUGGGAGC
RNAcentral lists this ribosomal RNA (548 nucleotides) under Pluralibacter gergoviae. RNAcentral's name for it is "bacterial LSU rRNA". It matches the Rfam family "Bacterial large subunit ribosomal RNA", at positions 1 to 580 of the family's 2925-position model. Lineage: Bacteria; Pseudomonadati; Pseudomonadota; Gammaproteobacteria; Enterobacterales; Enterobacteriaceae. The record is from RNAcentral.